This 465-nucleotide ribosomal RNA is filed under the name uncultured bacterium. RNAcentral describes it as "partial 16S ribosomal RNA". It matches the Rfam family "Bacterial small subunit ribosomal RNA", at positions 28 to 507 of the family's 1533-position model. The record is from RNAcentral.
GAUGAACGCUGGCGGCGUGCUUAACACAUGCAAGUCGAACGGAAAGGCCCAAGCUUGCUUGGGUACUCGAGUGGCGAACGGGUGAGUAACACGUGGGUGAUCUGCCCUGCACUUCGGGAUAAGCCUGGGAAACUGGGUCUAAUACCGGAUAGGACCACCUGUUGGAUGGUGGGGUGGAGAGUUUUUCGGUGUGGGAUGAGCUCGCGGCUUAUCAGCUUGUUGGUGGGGUAGUGGCUUACCAAGGCGUCGACGGGUGGCCGGCCUGAGAGGGUGACCGGCGACAUUGGGACUGAGAUACGGCCCAGACUCCUACGGGGGGCAGCAGUGGAGAAUAUUGCACAAUGGGCGGAAGCCUGAUGCAGCAACGCCGCGUGCGGGAUGACGGCCUUCGGGUUGUAAACCGCUUUCGCCUGGGACGAAGCGUGAGUGACGGUAAUGGGUAAAGAAACACCGGCUAACUACGUG